ACAGCAGUAGCCACGGUAAUACAGAGGGUGCAAGCGUUAAUCGGAAUUACUGGGCGUAAAGCGCGCGUAGGUGGUUUGUUAAGUUGGAUGUGAAAUCCCCGGGCUCAACCUGGGAACUGCAUCCAAAACUGGCAAGCUAGAGUAUGGUAGAGGGUGGUGGAAUUUCCUGUGUAGCGGUGAAAUGCGUAGAUAUAGGAAGGAACACCAGUGGCGAAGGCGACCACCUGGACUGAUACUGACACUGAGGUGCGAAAGCGUGGGGAGCAAACAGGAUUAGAGACCCCCGUAGUCCCUGUCUCUUAUAC
This 305-nucleotide ribosomal RNA is filed under the name uncultured bacterium. RNAcentral describes it as "partial 16S ribosomal RNA". It matches the Rfam family "Bacterial small subunit ribosomal RNA", at positions 505 to 807 of the family's 1533-position model. The record is from RNAcentral.